UACGUAGGGUGCAGGCGUUAAUCGGAAUUACUGGGCGUAAAGCGUGCGCAGGCGGCUCUUUAAGUCAGAUGUGAAAGCCCCGGGCUUAACCUGGGAAUUGCGUUUGAAACUGGAGAGCUGGAGUGUGGAAGAGGGGGGUGGAAUUCCAGGUGUAGCAGUGAAAUGCGUAGAGAUCUGGAGGAACACCGAUGGCGAAGGCAGCCCCCUGGGCUAACACUGACGCUCAUGCACGAAAGCGUGGGGAGCAAACAGG
RNAcentral lists this ribosomal RNA (253 nucleotides) under uncultured bacterium. RNAcentral's name for it is "partial 16S ribosomal RNA". It matches the Rfam family "Bacterial small subunit ribosomal RNA", at positions 524 to 776 of the family's 1533-position model. The record is from RNAcentral. RNAcentral also lists the same sequence under 1 other name.